AAGCGCACCACAGGAGCGCGUGGAGCUUGUGGCUUAAUUUGACCCAACGCGGGAAAUCUUACCAGGUCCGGACAUAUUGAGGAUUGAGAGGCGAUAGGAUAUAUUAUUAUUAUAUAUAUUCAUAAAAAUGAUAGUCCUUUCAUGAUUAUAUGAUAGGUGGUGCAUGGCCGUUCUUAGUUCGUGGAGUGAUCUGUCUGCUUAAUUGCGUUUCAUAUAUAAUAAUAAUAUUUAAUAUAUAUUUUUAUUAAUAUUGUUAUGCAUAUAUGUGGUUCUGCCUUUUUUAGGGAUUUAAGGUGAACAUAUAUAUAUUAUUAUAUAUUAUAUUAUAUAUAUUAUUAUAUAUUAAAAUGAAUGCAACGAACGUGACCG
This 369-nucleotide ribosomal RNA is filed under the name Foraminifera environmental sample. RNAcentral's name for it is "SSU rRNA". It matches the Rfam family "Eukaryotic small subunit ribosomal RNA", at positions 1160 to 1440 of the family's 1831-position model. Lineage: Eukaryota; Foraminifera. The record is from RNAcentral.